AACGAACGCUGGCGGCAUGCCUAACACAUGCAAGUCGAACGAGACCUUCGGGUCUAGUGGCGCACGGGUGCGUAACGCGUGGGAACCUGCCCUUAGGUUCGGAAUAACUCCCCGAAAGGGGUCCUAAUACCGGUUAAUGUCUUCGGACCAAAGAUUUAUCGCCUUUGGAUGGGCCCGCGUUGGAUUAGCUAGUUGGUAGGGUAAAAGCCUACCAAGGCGACGAUCCAUAGCUGGUCUGAGAGGAUGAUCAGCCACACUGGGACUGAGACACGGCCCAGACUCCUACGGGAGGAAGCAGUGGGGAAUAUUGGACAAUGGGCGAAAGACUGAUCCAGCAAUGCCGCGUGAGUGAUGAAGGCCUUAGGGUUGUAAAGCGCUUUUACCCGGGAUGAUAAUGACAGUACCGGGAGAAUAAGCUCAGGCUAACUCCGUG
RNAcentral lists this ribosomal RNA (433 nucleotides) under uncultured bacterium. RNAcentral's name for it is "partial 16S ribosomal RNA". It matches the Rfam family "Bacterial small subunit ribosomal RNA", at positions 29 to 507 of the family's 1533-position model. The record is from RNAcentral.